This 1005-nucleotide long non-coding RNA is filed under the name Equus caballus (horse). RNAcentral's name for it is "lncRNA (ENSECAG00000048327.1)". Lineage: Eukaryota; Metazoa; Chordata; Mammalia; Perissodactyla; Equidae. The record is from RNAcentral.
CUCCACCUUUGGGCAAGAUGGCUGCGCCCACUGGCUUUGCCGGGAGGGAGGGGCUGCUAUUCUCACGCGCCGAUCUGGAUUCAGAUCAGUUCUGUUCUCUGGUCUCCCGAGGCCCUGGGUUUAUGGGGUCCCCACGGACGGAAGCUUUCCCCCCAUCAGUGGGUUUCCACUGAACCAGCGGCAGGAGUCCUGGAUGAUCCCCCGGUCGCGCGGCCCCUCCCCCACUCCUUCGUGACCCACGCCGCAGCCAUCGCAGACUCUAGGGGAGGGAGCAAUGUUCUCUCCUAUCGUUCCAGCACCUCCAAGGCCAAAAUAACACAUUGGUUAUAGACGAAGCUCUCCGUGUGCCCUUUCCAGACUCCACUUCCCUCUCUCCUCCUCCUAUGAUCUGGCUCCUGAACUUGGUGGCCCUCCUGAUCUGCCUGGAAAUGGAUUUGUUAACUUGGAAUGCCAUCACCAAGAUUUAACGUAAGAAAAGUUCAUUUUCUUGGCCGUGGAAGUCAAAUAAACCCCAAAUCGAAAGAUAUAAGCAGGGUGUAUGUUUUCACGUGUUAAGACAUCUUCCAUAGCUCAAGCGUUUCUUUCUCCAUCCUAUAUCUCAAAAGCCAGGAUGAUCAUCUUUUGAGUCCCAGUUCAGAAGAGCUCCUUCUCCCCACGUGCUUCCUUAACCGUCUGCUAAGUGUCUGCACCAGUGGUCUAGACGCGUGAGAACACACCCCUCUUCCUUGCUACUGAACUGAUUCCUGUGCAAGUCUUAGUUCCAAAUUGUUGCAAAAUUCCUUGAUGACAGUGACUGUGACCAUGACUUUAAUCUUCCUCAGGGUCUAAAACAGCGCUGUGCAUAUCAAAGGCACUCAGGUCAUGCUGGGUGAGUGACAAACCAUAGGGGAAAUUCAUGAAAGAUCUCAAGACUCUGAGCUUCCCUGGUAAAGAGGACAGGGCGUGUAAGUCACGGCCAAGGCUCCAGACGCCGCUACAUGAGGCGGCACCUGCGGAAAACCCGAC